Molecule: long non-coding RNA, 518 nt
Organism: Myotis brandtii (Brandt's bat)
Lineage: Eukaryota; Metazoa; Chordata; Mammalia; Chiroptera; Vespertilionidae
Exons: 3
Source: RefSeq, a predicted model, not a curated record
UGUGACUCGGAGGAGAUGCGCAUGUGCUGUGAGCACGAACAAACAGGCGUGUGAAGGGAUGCAUGCACUUAACAGGUGCGUACAGGCUGUGUGCUGUGUGGCUGAAGGCAGGCGGAGGUGGGAAGCAACAAUACACAAAACCCAAUUGGUCGGGGGUUAAAGGAUCACACUUAGCUUUGCAGCUCCAUCCACAUGACGAUGCCACGGCAGAUGAAACCCACACAGAUGUACACCCUUCCCAGCAGCACCUGGGUUCCCUCCCUCCCCCCUUUCCGCUCCCUGCUACCUGCAGAAUCAAGGACUCAGAGAGCAAGUGGGAGGAGGCUACACAGUGCCAAGAUUCUCAUCUUCCAAUCCUUCGCCAACUCUCUUUACUCUGCCUUAAACGAAAGCAAUCCCAAAAGAACAAGAAAAACAUCGCAACGGACAUUCUAAAUGCCUUGUGUGCAGCACUUCUGGAGCAAAUCACCGACUGUCUGAGCUGGCGGGGACCUUGGGCGGCCUCUGGCCCACCCAAC